RNAcentral lists this transfer RNA (67 nucleotides) under Myotis lucifugus (little brown bat). It matches the Rfam family "tRNA". Rfam says of the family: Transfer RNA (tRNA) molecules are approximately 80 nucleotides in length. Their secondary structure includes four short double-helical elements and three loops (D, anti-codon, and T loops). Lineage: Eukaryota; Metazoa; Chordata; Mammalia; Chiroptera; Vespertilionidae. The record is from Rfam by way of RNAcentral.
GCCUGGCUCAGUGGUUGAGCAUCAACCUAUAAACCUGGAGGCCCUGGUUCAAUUCCUGGUCAGGGCA